AAAAUACAGUUAUGCCAAUGAAGUCCCACUCAGGGUGAUAUCUGUAUCUAAAAGAUGAGUGCUCAUCAUCCUAUUAGGCUUUGUCUUGGUGGUGUUCAUCCUGAGAUGCUGAGACAUGGAAAUAAAAAAUCAGAAGGAAUUUAGGGAUAUGAUUACUCAAAAAAGAAACUAUCCUGUCUAAAUUUGAAUUGUGUUGAUAACUAGGUGUUCCCCAGAUGCUAAGAUGUUCUUAAUUUGUAUUUAUUGAAGGAUUGUUAGCUUAGUGCCACAAAAUUUUUCUUACUUUAUGUUAAUUCCAGAUAAGAAAUUUACAAGUUUAUAUCUUUUUUUUUCUUUUUUUUAAGAUGAGAUCUGGCUCUAUCACCCAGGCUAAAGUGCAGUGGCAUGAUCUAGGCUAACUCCCUGGCUCAAGCGAUCCUUCCACCUCAGCCUCCCAAGUACCUGGGACUACAGGCACUCACGGCCACACCUGACUAAUUUUUGUAUUUUUUUGUAGAGAUGGAGUAUCGCCAUGUUGCCCAGCUUCCUUUGAGGAAUGAAAAUCAUUGUUUGCUGUACAUUUGAUCAGAAGAAAAAAGAAAAACUGAAAUUAGUGAAGUCAGUGAAGUCUUCGGUCCCGUCCUGAAUCAUUUUUACCCUCUGUUUAGGGACAGGUCUAGAACGAGUGAGCACAAAACUGAAGAGUGUGCCGAAAAUCUCAGCAAUCAAGAUAACAUUUGAACUCCAUUUUUGAAAAAAAUAAAAACUAACACCCACGAAAAA
RNAcentral lists this long non-coding RNA (762 nucleotides) under Homo sapiens (human). RNAcentral describes it as "non-protein coding lnc-APELA-1:3". The record is from RNAcentral. Lineage: Eukaryota; Metazoa; Chordata; Mammalia; Primates; Hominidae.